Columba livia (rock pigeon) is the source of this 5602-nucleotide long non-coding RNA. RefSeq lists it as uncharacterized. The record is from RefSeq and is a predicted model, not a curated record. NCBI's taxonomy places the organism in Eukaryota, Metazoa, Chordata, Aves, Columbiformes, Columbidae. The transcript has 3 exons.
AACCCCGCGCCCUUCGGGGCGCACCGCCACACCCCCGUUCUCCGCUCCCCGGCCACCUCACGGCGGACACGCCGCCCGGCGGGUCCCACGCCUCUGUCGGUCCACUUUCCUCCCCGGCCUUCCCUUCCGCCGGGCCGCGGGCGCUCCGUACCGGUCUCCGCCCGCCCCCCCGCCCGCAGCGGUUCGCCCGCCGGCCAUCGCGAUCCGCCGGCGGGGCGCGGGCCGCCCCCUGGCGUCGGGCUGCCGCAGCGUCCCCGCGGCCGCUGCCCGGCCGUUACCUCGGCCCCAGCCGCCGCCGCCGCUCUGGCGGCUCUCGGCGGGGCGCCGCACCCCGCUCGGCGGCGGAGGUAGGCUCCGUCCCUUCACCCUUCCUGUGCUACGACUGCUGUCGUCGUUCGUGUUUGACGUACGGAGCGGCGGCGCCGCCAUCCCCGGCCCCCCGUCCUGGAGCGGCUGCCGUGGCUCAGGUGCUGACAGCCGAACCGGCGGCAGCUCCGGGUUCGCUCGAGGGCAGCGGCUGCCGGCGCAGGAGGGUGCGCAGAGCGGCGGCGAAGGAAAAAAAGGUGCGAACCCGGAAGUACACCCGCCACGCCGCCGCCCGCAGGGAAACACCCGCGCCCAGACACAACAAUGCGGAGCCACUUCGCCUCCGCCGAGCGUAACUUUUCCUCCGGCAUCGAAAAAACCCGCCUGCCGCUCCCUCCUCGCAGCCGCCCGGGGCCGGCGGACCCGAGCACGCCCCGGCAGGUGCGGCACCAGAGGGAGGUCGAGACCCGGCGGCGGCCCCGCCGCGAAGUAGAGGCUCCAAGUGGCCACUUCCCACAUGCACUAGCAAAAUGGAGAUGGUUCCCAGUGGUGUGACAGGCUCACCAGGUGCUCAUGCUGAAGAUUAGCCAACUGGUAACUGGUGACGUCACACCAUCUUUACUCUGGCAUUAUGGAAGAAGUGUGAGUGACCUCCCCGAAAAAGGAUAAUGAAAUGGCCUUGCAGAAGAGAGCUCCUAACAAAGUGCGAGGACCAGCACAGGAAGAAUCACUUUUUUUUUAAUUUCCCUUUCCCCGCCCCAGCAUUAACUUUAAGAAAUAGGCAAGGCAGAGCCUGACCUGAGACAGGAUCUGACAUCUUACCACCAAAUGACUUAAUCACCACAAAGUGUGUUCAGUGGGGAGUGGUAUGAGGAAUGGCAGUCGGAGAUGUGACAGUGCUGCCCGCUCCGAGAGCCAGCAGCCCUGUCACCUGCUCUCUCCUGCAUGAAUGCUUCUGCUGAAUCCCUGCUGACACAGAAGAAAGUAGACUGUGAGCAAAUCAAACUCUUUGAAAUGAAGCUGCUCUCUCAUUCCCCCUUCCUCCCCCACCCCAAGGCACUCCUGACAUCCUCCUAAUUUUGUGUAAAGCUAUUUGUCCCUUCCCUCCAGAGACUACAUCAAACAAUGCUGCCAUUGUCUCAAGCCUUCCCAUACGUCCACCCCAGGAUUCAGCAAGGCAAGUGAGAAGCCUUUCUUAAAUAUACUUUGAAGAAACUAAAUAAUUUUUUAUCCCUUUCCUACUUACACUUCGUGUUAAAUAAAACUGGACAUUCUUUCUACCUACUUUCCCUGGUACUCACCAAAUAAGUCUGUUCUUUGAAAAAACAGCAGGUUACCACGCAAGUGAUGUGCAAACUACAUAAUGGUUGCUAAUUAAUCCACUCUUGUCCAAAAAACACUACCUAACCAAGAGUCGUCUAGCAAGCAGACCUACUUUCCUGUCGUUUUGGAACCUCAAACGAAACCACAACAGAGCACAGAGUAAAUGAAACUCGGGACAGCCAUUUUCUGUGUAUCUGAAAGACACCAAAGUACUUAGAGGCAAGUCCUCAUGGAGUAAAGUACCAUUGUUCCUAUGACUCCUGAAUCAAUUCAUCUGUCAAAUGUGACCUACAUUACAGAUUGUGUCCUGACCUUUGAAGUAUCACCACAGCUGUGCUCCUCUUGGACAAUUCAAGGCUCUGGUUGAAGUAAGGAAGUUAAAACUUUCUCUGUCAAAGAGAUACAGAGAUAGAGCAAACUUCCAGAGAAGAUGAUGAUCUGGAAUAGGAAAUGGCACCAUCCCUUCUGUUUUAAAGACAUCUUUCCAUCGUUUGCGACACCGAUAGAUGCUAACUUCCAUUAUAUUUUUCUUCAAAGGGAGUAUUAAAGAAUUCUUUGUUCUGCUCUGGCCUGACAACUGUUUCACCUAGCAAUAAAACAAUAUAGAAAUUAUGUUUUCCAAUUACCAAAUUUUUAAUUUCAACAUGAAAGGAGUUGGUGAGCAGUAAUACUUUUCAUAACUGUGAAAAGCUUUCUUGUCCUUUCUAUAGUGUCAGAUUUUUGCAUACAAUUGAAGCUGCUAAUCAGUUCUCCUUCAUUAAAAACAAAACCAAAAACCAACCAACCAACCAAACCCAGAAAACCCCAUUUUUUUGAACUUACAAGAGAAGAUUGAAAUUUACUGAUAAUUCUCCUUUUUUUUCUUCUUUUUAAAUUUUAUAUAGAAAGUCUCUUUCAAUUUUACAUUAACAAAAGUACUAAGUUUCUUAUGUACUUUUUCUGCAUUACACCAAUAUCUAUGCUUGUGCAGUCAGCCAGUGAAACUUUCAUUAAUGAACCUGGUUGAAAGGUAAAAGCAAAAAAAUAGUUUAAUCUGUAUUAUGUUUACAUUUAAGCCUGUCAGUUUUCUGGACUUAUGUGGGAAAGUGUUGAAAAACGUGUAACUUAAAUACCAAGUAUAGGAUGAGUUUUCUUCCUCAGCCCAACUGUGUUUCGUCUCAGUCCCCUUGAAGAAACUCAUAUGUCUACGAGAUGCCACCUGGAAAGCUUCUGACUUUGGUCUUUCAGAUACAAAAAGGCUAUGAAAUAUUUUUCAUAGAUAGCUCUUCCCUGGCUGCAUAUUUGAGAGGAUUCAGUUGUGCUGUUGAGCCCACCACCUGCACAGACUCAUGUACACACCAGCACUGAGGGACGGCUGCUGAUUUGCACACCAUGCAACAGGAGGGGAGGAGAAAACAUCAUGUGCUCUAGGGAAAUGCAAGGGAAUUGAAAGCUUACUGCCUUUAGGAUGUCAAGGCAACAUGCUUGGAGGUCUGCACAUAUUUGCAAGACACAGUACUCAUCUUACGGCUCGCUUUUAAUCCUAUGCUAGUUGUCCUUUCAGGCAAUUCUGCCAUUUCCACUGCUUUCCCUCCGUCUCUGAAUUAGCCAGCAUUUCCACCUCACUGACAGUAAAUUGCAUUGCCCUCAGUGCCUGUGAGCACAUAAAUAUUUUUCUAAUAUGAUUAUUUAAGAUACUAAUAUACAAAUGAGCUCGAGAAUGGAAUAAUGCGAUGGAGUUCUUUCAGUGCCAUAUUUGGAAACCAAAUUUCAUAGGACUACAUUUAAGAUGCUCUUUUUCCCUUUAACCAAGAGAUAAUGUCUUCCACCAAGGUAUCUUCCACUAAUAAACAUUAUAAUAACUCUAUGCAUAUAUCCUGGCCUAUUCCACUGUGGGCUCAGGAUUCAGUAACUGCACAGAUUUGUGUAAGAGAAAGUUGAGGCUGACUCAGCUGAGAGUUCACUGAGAGCUGCUGUAGACCUUUAACUAUGUAUAAGGUUGUGCUGACAGCAAUCUUGCUUAGAGCUUCAAAAACUUUAAUACCCUACGGAGAGAAAAAUACUUUAAAAUGCAGAUCUGCACAAGCUCAUUGGCCAAGCUCUUAGGUGGUUACAAAGUAAAACCAACUCCUUUGCCUUGAGUAGUUUUAGAUAGUGUAGUUUUCUUCUUAUCCAACUCAGUAGCAUAGAUGCUCUGCCAGGCUUUGAAGGACAAAGAGGAAAAGUAUGAAAAAAGAAAGACACCCAUGACAAACAGAUGGAAAAAAAUAGGGCAAACUUAUUCUCACUGCUCAGCUUAUAGGUUUGUCAGGAUACUAAAUAAAUAAACUGUGUGACUGCCCAGAACUUGCUACAUUGAUGCCCAUUCUUUUGUAACUCACUUACUAACGAUCUAAUUUAGCAGAAAUGUGGUCCAUAGCUACAUGAAGUUCAUCUUUUUCAGCUUUGUUACUGAAGUAAUUCAGCAGCUUAGUUGGCCUGACUUCAGAACUAUUAAUUCCUGAGAUAUGGUAGUAAGUAGAGACUUUGUUAGAAUAUUUUUUCUUCCUGUGAAACACUGAUCUCCAAAGUCAAAACUCACACAGCUACUGAAGCUAUUUUUAGAUAUCCAAAGUUAAUCCAGCUCUGAGCAACACUAAUGAUGAUAUAUCCCUUUAACUACAGGCAUGGAAGCUUUACUCUGUUCUUUUAAAACUGUCCCUACCAUGUAUCCAAUUGCACAUCUUGGAUAUCUGGCAGGCCAGUUUCUGAUGGGGUACUAUCCUUCUUCCUCAAAGUUAUCUAGUCAUUUAAGUAUGGCAAAGACCCAAAUCGAAGAUUUUUUUUUUUUUUUUUAUAAGGCCAACUUGAAUUUUCAUUUGCAUUUAAGCUCUAGUUAAUGAACAUUAAUUUGCUAUAAUGAUUAUAUCAUAGAUGGGACACAUACAUUUUUGAUUAACCAUGUUUAAGGAGCAAAUAUUUGAGUCAUGGGACAAAUAUGUAAAUAGUACUUGCACUAUAAUUUGUAAUUGCAUUAAUUAACACACAUUAAAACAGACUGACUGUUUAUGAAACAGCCAGUGGGAGGUCAUUAGAUAAUGGACAAUGCAAAUUAUGGCCUGGUAGUAAUUCAUGAUUAACUCUAAUUAACUAAGUAAUGAACUCUGUUGGGGAAUAGAAAAUAAGAAUGAUUUUACUAAUUUAAAUGUGAAGUCCAAUAUCCUAAUUUCCAGCAAUAAGCAGGAUGAUUCAUUAAAGCAUGUUGAAGCAUAUAAGGAUAUUCUCCUGAUCAGUAUAUUCUUCUGGUCCUGUCCACUGGCAUUUUAGAAGCAGAGUUGUAUCUAUGACUUUGUGUUCAACAGCCUUUGAACUUUUUUUUUCUAGGAACUUCUCCAGCUGCUUUUUGAUCCCAUCUAUACUUUGGGCUACCCCCAUGUCCUAUGGCAAUUAGUUCCAGUUUCCUAUGUGCUGUAUGAAGUAAUCCUUCCUUCAUAUUCUGCUUUCUACCUGGCAAUUUUGCUUGAUGUUCCGUGGUCAGUUUGUGUGCACCUUUUCUGUGCUAUUCCUGACCUUACAGAGCUCUAUUAUACCUUCCUCCUCACUCCCAGCUUUGUCUUUGAGUAUUUGGACACUUGUCAGAUGGGAAGAGUUUCAUAAUUUAACUAUGCCUGACAUCCUUUUGUAUACUUUCUGAGCUGGGUUAGGGGGCAGAACUGCCCACAGUAUUCAGUGGUGCAAUGACAUUUUCUGUUUGUUUUUUAUUCUCUGUUGAUCUGUCUGGGAGAACAGAUACCAUGGGUCAUUGUUGCUGCCUGCCCUUGGAAGAGAUGGUGCCUGCAUGGAGAUCAUACCUUGUGGGAGGCUUGGGAUUCCUUCUGCCAGACCCAGCAUGGGACUUUCUUUAGGAGCCAUCAUCAGCCUUCAAAGUAAAAUGAACUCAUGUUUCAUCCAUGAAGGAAUGUACUCACUAGUCAUAUAAUUAAACACAUUAGUGGUUCUGUGGGGCUGACAAAAA